GACGAACGCUGGCGGCGUGCUUAACACAUGCAAGUCGAACGGAAAGGCCCUGCUUUUGUGGGGUGCUCGAGUGGCGAACGGGUGAGUAACACGUGAGUAACCUGCCCUUGACUUUGGGAUAACUUCAGGAAACUGGGGCUAAUACCGGAUAGGAGCUCCUGCUGCAUGGUGGGGGUUGGAAAGUUUCGGCGGUUGGGGAUGGACUCGCGGCUUAUCAGCUUGUUGGUGGGGUAGUGGCUUACCAAGGCUUUGACGGGUAGCCGGCCUGUGAGGGUGACCGGCAAAAUUGGGACUGAGAGACGGACCAGACUCCUACGGGAGGCAGCAGUGGGGAAUAUUGCACAAUGGGCGGAAGCAUGAUGCAGAAACGCGGCGUGCGGGAUGACGGCCUUCGGGUUGUAAACCGAUUUCGACUGUGACGAAGCGUGAGUGACGGUAAUGGGUAAAGAAGCACCGGCUAACUACGUG
Molecule: ribosomal RNA, 468 nt
Filed under: uncultured bacterium
Lineage: Bacteria
Description: partial 16S ribosomal RNA
Rfam family: Bacterial small subunit ribosomal RNA
Source: RNAcentral